Molecule: small RNA, 28 nt
Filed under: Bombyx mori (domestic silkworm)
Lineage: Eukaryota; Metazoa; Arthropoda; Insecta; Lepidoptera; Bombycidae
Description: ovarian small RNA-29613
Source: RNAcentral
UCUCAUUUAAUGCCUACCACAAAACUGC